AUCAGGUAGGGAUACCCGCUGAACUUAAGCAUAUCAAUAAGCGGAGGAAAAGAAACCAACCGGGAUUGCCCUAGUAACGGCGAGUGAAGCGGCAAGAGCUCAAAUUUGAAAGCUGGCCCCCUCGGGGUCCGCAUUGUAAUUUGCAGAGGAUGCUUCGGGAGCGGUCCCCAUCUAAGUGCCCUGGAACGGGCCGUCAUAGAGGGUGAGAAUCCCGUAUGGGAUGGGGUGCCCGCGCCCGUGUGAAGCUCCUUCGACGAGUCGAGUUGUUUGGGAAUGCAGCUCUAAUUGGGUGGUAAAUUUCAUCUAAAGCUAAAUAUUGGCCGGAGACCGAUAGCGCACAAGUAGAGUGAUCGAAAGAUGAAAAGCACUUUGAAAAGAGAGUUAAACAGCACGUGAAAUUGUUGAAAGGGAAGCGCUUGCGAUCAGACUCGCCCACGGGGUUCAGCCGGCAUUCGUGCCGGUGUACUUCCCCGCGGGCGGGCCAGCGUCGGUUUGGGCGGUCGGUCAAAGGCCCCUGGAAUGUAACGCCUCUCGGGGCGUCUUAUAGCCAGGGGUGCCAUGCGACCUGCCCGGACCGAGGAACGCGCUUCGGCUCGGACGCUGGCAUAAUGGUCGUAAGCGACC
This 624-nucleotide ribosomal RNA is filed under the name Penicillium roseopurpureum. Its description in RNAcentral is "eukaryotic LSU rRNA". It matches the Rfam family "Eukaryotic large subunit ribosomal RNA", at positions 10 to 649 of the family's 3401-position model. Lineage: Eukaryota; Fungi; Ascomycota; Eurotiomycetes; Eurotiales; Aspergillaceae. The record is from RNAcentral.